UUGACCUCGGAUCAGGCAGGGAUACCCGCUGAACUUAAGCAUAUCAAUAAGCGGAGGAAAAGAAACCAACAGGGAUUGCCUCAGUAACGGCGAGUGAAGCGGCAACAGCUCAAAUUUGAAAUCUGGCUCUUUUAGGGUCCGAGUUGUAAUUUGUAGAGGAUGCUUCGGCGUCGGCUCCGGUCUAAGUUCCUUGGAACAGGACGUCAUAGAGGGUGAGAAUCCCGUAUGUGAUCGGUUGCCCUUGCCAUGUGAAGCUCCUUCGACGAGUCGAGUUGUUUGGGAAUGCAGCUCUAAAUGGGAGGUAAAUUUCUUCUAAAGCUAAAUACUGGCCAGAGACCGAUAGCGCACAAGUAGAGUGAUCGAAGAUGAAAGCACUUUGAAAGAGAGUCAAAAGUACGUGAAUUGUGAAAGGGAAGCGCUUGCAACAGACCUGCCUGCAGUUGCUCAUCCGG
RNAcentral lists this ribosomal RNA (452 nucleotides) under uncultured Cenococcum. RNAcentral describes it as "eukaryotic LSU rRNA". It matches the Rfam family "Eukaryotic large subunit ribosomal RNA", at positions 1 to 455 of the family's 3401-position model. Lineage: Eukaryota; Fungi; Ascomycota; Dothideomycetes; Gloniales; Gloniaceae. The record is from RNAcentral.